Vidua macroura (Pin-tailed whydah) is the source of this 696-nucleotide long non-coding RNA. RefSeq lists it as uncharacterized. The record is from RefSeq and is a predicted model, not a curated record. The transcript is spliced from 4 exons. NCBI's taxonomy places the organism in Eukaryota, Metazoa, Chordata, Aves, Passeriformes, Viduidae.
CUUGAGCCUGCUUCCAGACAGCCCAACUGCAUCCCCUUCCCCCUUCAAAGCCCUCUCAAAGGGCUUUGAGUUUAAAGCCCUCUCAAAAAGUUCCUCCAUUCAUAAGCUAAAAACCUUCUGCCCUUAACAGAGAGCCCAUCCAGUUCCAGCAGGCCAGGUGCCAUAAAAGUUGCCCCAUGAUCAAAGAACCUAAAAUUCUGCUGAUUACACCAACCCUUGAGCCACUUGAUAAGGUGGGCUCUCCUAUUUCUUUCACUGUUUUUUUCUGCCACCAAAGGGACUGAGCAGAACACUACCUGUGCUCCUGCCCUAUCAACCACUUGACACAGUGCCCUAAAGUCCCUUUUAAUUGCCCUGACACUCCUCUUUUCAAUCUCAUUACUGCCAGCCUGGAGUAUCAGCAGUGGAGGUGGUGAUCCGCCUGACAAAUGAAGCAUAAUUGGAAGGCUCAUUAAGACAGAUCCUUUUCUUCUACAUCAUCUGGCUGACCCUCUGGAUCCAGGGCCUCAUACCUAUUCUGAAGUGAUACCUGGGUGUCCUCCUAUUGCCUGAUAGUGGGAGGCAUGGGAAUCCUGUGACUCCUGACGAGCCUCCCUCAAGGAUGGAUCAAAUACAUAACACAGGUGCGGCAGGAACAAAGUGCUCUUGGAGCAGAUGCAGUGACAAAUGCUGCAGAACAAAGGAUGGCAGCAGAUU